RNAcentral lists this ribosomal RNA (543 nucleotides) under uncultured bacterium. Its description in RNAcentral is "bacterial SSU rRNA". It matches the Rfam family "Bacterial small subunit ribosomal RNA", at positions 28 to 597 of the family's 1533-position model. The record is from RNAcentral.
GGUGAACGCAGCGGUGCGCCUAACACAUGCAAGUCGAGCGGUAGAUUGAUAGCUUGCUAUUAAAUUGAGAGCGGCGAACGGGUGAGUAACAUGUUGAAAUCUGCCCCCAAGUCAGGGAUAGCCAUUGGAAACGAUGAUUAAUACCGGAUGUGCUCUAUGGAGUAAAGAUUUAUUGCUUGGGGAGGAGUCUACAUUCUAUCAGUUAGUUGGUGAGGUAAAGGCUUACCAAGACUAUGACGGAUAGCUGGUCUGAGAGGAUGAUCAGCCACAAUGAAACUGAGACGCGGUUCAUACUCCUACGGGAGGCAGCAGUGACGGAAUCUUCCACAAUGGACGAAAGUCUGAUGGAGCGACACCGCGUGAAGGAUGAAUGCCUAACUGGUUGUAAACUUCUUUUCUGAAGGAGCAUAAUGAGAGUACUUCAGGAAUAAGGGACGGAUAAAGUACGGUGCCAGCAGACGGGGUAAUACGUAUGUCCCGAGGUGUUAGCCCGGAAUUAUUGGGAUGUAAAGGGUUCGUAGCAGACUGAUAAGUUGGAUAUUA